GUGUUGAGAAGAUGGUGGAGAUUUGUAAGCAGGGCUAGGACCCCAGCCUGUGUAAGAAAGGGACAAAGCAUUCUAACCCUUCCGUGUCCUCGCUGCCCGCCACCCACUCAAGGGAACUUCACCUACUCAAGAGCCACAGGGGCUGGACAGAAGAACCUGGCAGCUGUCCAAAGCCUUCAGCGCCUAAUUUCCCACCAAGUGCAAGACUGACAAGGUUCUUCCCUGCGGUCUCCUCUUGCCAAUCCUCACCGCGUUCUUAGUUCCUGCCUCAGUGUUAUUUUCUCCAAGCAACAUAGCAAGUGAGGCCCGAUGGGUCUGGAAGGCUUACACGGCCCAAAGGGACAAUGACGGCAGGCUUCAGAGCUGUGGUUGAGAGUCUGGAGGAUUUCAGCCUGGAUUUCACAUACCAUCCUCAUCAUGAGGAAGGAAGCAGCCCCCAUCUGGGAGCUGGGAGCUUGGAAGGGUCCGGCUGCAUGGAGCUGGUGGUGGAACAUGUCAAGGGAGUCCAGGAGCUGAGCAUGGAUGCUCCAUCGCCCUCCUAUGUUUUGAAAUCUACUGAAUGUCACAGGUAAUCUUCCCUCUCUUCCUUCCAGGGGUACUGUGCGCCAGGCAUUCAAAGACAGCACUCAGGAGAUCUUCAUAGCAGCCCUCAAAGUAGGUUUUAGCCUCUGCUCAGAGUAACUGUUAAAUAACUCCAUGGAGGUUACAACAGCAGAACAGCAGAGGCUGGUGGAGCCACAAUUGAAGUUCAGGUCUGGCUGACACUGGGACAGUGUUUUUUCCCUCUUCCAUGGUGUAUUCAUCAAGCACUGGGCCUGACACCAGGGGACACAGAUAAACCAGAACCCCUGCCCUGCGGAAGCUGGUGGGGCAGGGAGGAGUCAAUAACAACUGAGACAGACCGGAGCAAAAGGUGGGCUGAAGCAGGGCUGGAAAUGACUUCAGUGGAGCACAGGAGAGGGAGAGACGCAGCUGCAAAGAGGUGCUGACUGAGUCAGGGAGAGGCUGUUACGGAGGGGGACAACCCUCAGGGAUGGUGGCUCUCUAAAGGAGCAGGACAUGGCGACUAAAUGCAAUGUGGGAUCCCAGGUUGGCUCUUGGAUUAAAAAUAAUAAUAAUAAUAAAAAGCUACAGGCUGGGCACAGUGGCUCACACCUGUAAUCCCAGCACUUUGGGAGGCCGAGAUGGGCAGAUCGUUUGAGCUCAGGAGUUCGAGACCAGACUGGGCAACAUGGUGAAACCCUGUCUCUACCCAUGAUACAAAAACUUAGCCGGGUGUGGUGGUGUG
Molecule: long non-coding RNA, 1288 nt
Filed under: Homo sapiens (human)
Lineage: Eukaryota; Metazoa; Chordata; Mammalia; Primates; Hominidae
Description: HSALNT0230548
Source: RNAcentral